RNAcentral lists this ribosomal RNA (459 nucleotides) under uncultured bacterium. RNAcentral's name for it is "partial 16S ribosomal RNA". It matches the Rfam family "Bacterial small subunit ribosomal RNA", at positions 338 to 795 of the family's 1533-position model. The record is from RNAcentral.
CCUACGGGGGGCAGCAGUGAGGAAUAUUGGUCAAUGGCCGCAGGGCUGAACCAGCCAAGUCGCGUGAGGGAUGACGGUCCUAUGGAUUGUAAACCUCUUUUGUCAGGGAGCAAAGGGCGCCACGUGUGGCGCUUUGCGAGUACCUGAAGAAAAAGCAUCGGCUAACUCCGUGCCAGCAGCCGCGGUAAUACGGAGGAUGCGAGCGUUAUCCGGAUUUAUUGGGUUUUAAGGGUGCGCAGGCGGAAUGUCAAGUCAGCGGUAAAAUUUCGGGGCUCAACCCCGUCGUGCCGUUGAAACUGGCGUUCUUGAGUGAGCGAGAAGUAUGCGGAAUGCGUGGUGUAGCGGUGAAAUGCAGAGAUAUCACGCAGAACUCCGAUUGCGAAGGCAGCAUACCGGCGCUCAACUGACGCUCAUGCACGAAAGCGUGGGUAUCGAACAGGAUUAGAUACCCGAGUAGUC